This 251-nucleotide unclassified non-coding RNA is filed under the name Hevea brasiliensis (rubber tree). The record is from RNAcentral. Lineage: Eukaryota; Viridiplantae; Streptophyta; Magnoliopsida; Malpighiales; Euphorbiaceae.
ACCUUUGAGAUCAGAAGCAAAUGGUGCAUAAUGAUAUGGAUAAAACCAUUGCCAAGAACAAACGCCUUCAUAAUAAUAGUGCAUAACCCAACAUAGGCCUUCUGUGUAUCUCAAAACAACAUCAUUUCGUAUGUCAUCAAGUUCCUCUGGAGUAUUUGCAGAAAACUUUUCAUUAUAAUACCUCUCUCUCCACCCAGGUACGCCCAAUUUAAUCUUGUCUUCUUCUGAACUAUUAGAGUUGAAAACGUCAG